RNAcentral lists this unclassified non-coding RNA (228 nucleotides) under uncultured fungus. RNAcentral's name for it is "sequence contains ITS1, 5.8S rRNA gene". The stretch from base 180 to 228 matches the Rfam family "5.8S ribosomal RNA", at positions 1 to 49 of the family's 154-position model. Lineage: Eukaryota; Fungi. The record is from RNAcentral.
UCUCCGUAGGUGAACCUGCGGAGGGAUCAUUACCGAGUGAGGGUUCCGGCCCGACCUCCAACCCUUUGUGAAUUCGACCCAGUUGCCUCGGGGGCGACCCGGCCUUCGGGCGUCGGGGCCCCGGGUGGACCAUUCAAACACUGCAUCUUUGCGUCUGAGUACACGAUUGAAUCAAUCAAAACUUUCAACAACGGAUCUCUUGGUUCUGGCAUCGAUGAAGAACGCAGC